Strigops habroptila (Kakapo) is the source of this 458-nucleotide long non-coding RNA. RefSeq lists it as uncharacterized. The record is from RefSeq and is a predicted model, not a curated record. NCBI's taxonomy places the organism in Eukaryota, Metazoa, Chordata, Aves, Psittaciformes, Psittacidae. The transcript is spliced from 3 exons.
AGGUUCUGUUUCAUGAAGAAAAGUCAAUGUUAUCGUCUCUGUUUUACAGAUGGGUAAAACUACCAUGCAUUGAAGUGACUUGCCCACUGCUUUAUAAAAAGUUAUUUACAACAAAAUCUUCUGACUCCCAGCUUGGGCACCUUAUCUACAUAAUUGUCCUAUCAUCUGUGAAUACCUAGUUAACUGCACCAGCUUUAAACAUUCUCCUGCAGAGAUAUGGCUGAGAGGCUGAAGAAAGUAUUCAGCAGAGCUCCCAGUGUUGGAAAAUGACAUUCACCACUUCAUCCUAUGGCAACUUUAAGAGGUAGCCAUGCAGUCAACCUCUCCUUAAGAUCAACAAGAUUGAGGAUAUUGGACCCAGUGAGUGCUGACUGUUUUUUGUCAAGAGCAAGUUCUCAGUAGGAUGUUAUGUUGCUUGCAACACAAGAUCUAGGAAUGGUAAUGUAUAUAUUCAUGGU